Molecule: long non-coding RNA, 1514 nt
Organism: Myodes glareolus (Bank vole)
Lineage: Eukaryota; Metazoa; Chordata; Mammalia; Rodentia; Cricetidae
Source: RefSeq, a predicted model, not a curated record
GCUCUAUAUCCGCAAAUAUAGUCUAAGAGGCCACGCCCCAGUGGGCGGGUAACCACUGGCUGUAAGACUUCCUACAGCAUUUAGGAGCCUGGAAUUUGAGAGGAGUGAUCUGUACACCUUUUUCUAGGUAAUAGGAAGCCACUGGAGGAUGUGAAGGGGUAGUGAACCGAGUGUUAUGAAACUGCGGAGUAGAGACUGGAGCAGAGAAAUCAGCGAGGAGCAUUCUUGUACCUAGGUGCCAAAGGCUCAGGUGACCAAGAAGAUGUGGAAAAGAGGAGAACGUGCAAGGGUGACUCAAACUUUCUGGGGUUUGUCUAUGUUUUUUUAUUCAUUUUGUUUUUGAGACAGGCUUUGAACUGCUGAGCCUCCUGUCUCCACCACCCGAGUGCUGAUGUUACAGAUAUGCACCGCCGCACCCAAUAAGUUGCUGGGGACCAAACCCAUAUCUUGUGAAUGCCAGAGAGGCACCCAACCAAUUGGGCUACAAACCCAGUCCAGUUUUUGGGAAGAUGCCGUGGGCUAGGCAGGCAUCAUACGUUGGAUAUCCUGAUAGGAGCCUUCAGCCUGGGGACCCACCACACAGAGACUCUGCCCACAAGGAAAGGGAGGCAGAGCAGAGCGGAGUCCAUGUGGUUGUAAAGGAAGCAGAACCACAGAGUGGCAUCAGUUAAUGGUCAGAUGCCUGAGGAAUCCUGAGGAACAUGUCUGCAAGCUCUGAGUCCUGAGGACCAUCCUCGCCAGAAGGGUUCUGAGAAUCCAAAAGAGGGCCGCAAACAUGCUGGACAAGUGUUCUACAACCUCAGGCUAAAGUGGGUGUGGUCCCACAUACCUGAAGCCCUAGCACCUGGAAGAUGGAGGGUGAGGAAUCAAAAGUCAUCAUCUUUGGCUAUAUUUUGAGUUCAUGACUAGCAACUACAUGCAACUAAGAAAAGAAUGAAAACAAACAAAUAAACAGGCACACCCCAAGUCUGCUGUUUUAUAAUUGAAGGCAGUCUGUGAGGUACACAAAGUGUGAUCUCAGUUUGGCUUUCUAUACCUGCCAUCUCUGUUUCCAGCUUUCCCUGUAAUCUGUUUCUAACCUCCACCUAUCUAAAGACAAAAUCCACCACAAUCAGUGUGGCAGUCAGGCUGGACUCUUCUCAUAGGGUGAGCUCCCUGUGCGCUGAGUGCAGACAGAGGCUGACUAAAGGGAUACUUUUCCGUUUUAAGUUUAUUGAAAAGGCAAAGAUAUCCAUGAAGGUAGAAAUGAUCCAAGUGACCAAUAAACAUACAAAGUGAAAACUUAUUAAUUAUUAAAAUGCAAAUUAAAGCAGCGUUGUGAUGCUUUGUUUUAGCCUAUCCCCUUUGAAGAAGAAAUUUGCUUGUGAACAAUACAUCCUGAUGGCAAUGUGGCAAGAGAAACUCUGUAGACUGCACAUUUGAGGUUGACUCUGUUUGGUCUUUCUGAAAAACUCUUUGGCUAGAUGUCAAAACGCUGUAAAAUAUGCAAUUUAUCAAUAAAGUUGAUGUAAAGA